UACGGAGGGGGCGAGCGUUGUUCGGAUUUACUGGGCGUAAAGCGUGCGUAGGUGGUUUCUCAAGUAAGAAGUGAAAGCCCAGGGCUUAACCCUGGAACUGCUUUUUAAACUGGGUCACUAGAGUGUAGGAGAGGUAGAUGGAAUUCCGAGUGUAGAGGUGAAAUUCGUAGAUAUUCGGAGGAACACCAAUGGCGAAAGCAGUCUACUGGACUACUACUGACACUGAGGCACGAAAGCGUGGGGAGCAAACAGG
Molecule: ribosomal RNA, 253 nt
Filed under: uncultured bacterium
Lineage: Bacteria
Description: partial 16S ribosomal RNA
Rfam family: Bacterial small subunit ribosomal RNA
Source: RNAcentral